ACAAGGGAUCGACGGGAGGAUUACUGUGGCGUAAUGCGCAUGCAGGUGGUUUGUUAAGUCAGAUGUGAAAGCCCGGGGCUCAACCUCGGAAUUGCAUUUGAAACUGGCAGACUAGAGUACUGUAGAGGGGGGUAGAAUUUCAGGUGUAGCGGUGAAAUGCGUAGAGAUCUGAAGGAAUACCGGUGGCGAAGGCGGCCCCCUGGACAGAUACUGACACUCAGAUGCGAAAGCGUGGGGAGCAAACAGGAUUAGAUACCCUGGUAGUCCACGCCGUAAACGAUGUCUACUUGGAGGUUGUGGCCUUGAGCCGUGGCUUUCGGAGCUAACGCGUUAAGUAGACCGCCUGGGGAGUACGGUCGCAAGAUUAAAACUCAAAGGAAUUUGACGGGAGUGGG
RNAcentral lists this ribosomal RNA (395 nucleotides) under uncultured bacterium. RNAcentral describes it as "bacterial SSU rRNA". It matches the Rfam family "Bacterial small subunit ribosomal RNA", at positions 530 to 923 of the family's 1533-position model. The record is from RNAcentral.